Molecule: ribosomal RNA, 209 nt
Filed under: uncultured bacterium
Lineage: Bacteria
Description: partial 16S ribosomal RNA
Rfam family: Bacterial small subunit ribosomal RNA
Source: RNAcentral
AGCGCAGGCGGGAGAACAAGUUGGAAGUGAAAUCCAUGGGCUCAACCCAUGAACUGCUUUCAAAACUGUUUUUCUUGAGUAGUGCAGAGGUAGGCGGAAUUCCCGGUGUAGCGGUGGAAUGCGUAGAUAUCGGGAGGAACACCAGUGGCGAAGGCGGCCUACUGGGCACCAACUGACGCUGAGGCUCGAAAGUGUGGGUAGCAAAACGA